Molecule: ribosomal RNA, 253 nt
Filed under: uncultured bacterium
Lineage: Bacteria
Description: partial 16S ribosomal RNA
Rfam family: Bacterial small subunit ribosomal RNA
Source: RNAcentral
UACGGAGGGAGCAAGCGUUACUCGGAAUUAUUGGGCGUAAAGGGCGCGUAGGCGAUUUGAAAAGUCUUGUGUGAAAGCCCCGAGCUUAACUCGGGAAGUGCACAAGAAACUGUUGAAUUUGAGUUCCGGAGAGGAAGGCAGAAUUCCCGGUGUAGCGGUGAAAUGCGUAGAUAUCGGGAGGAAUACCAGUGGCGAAGGCGGCCUUCUGGACGGAUACUGACGCUGAGGCACGAAAGCGUGGGGAGCAAACAGG